Helianthus annuus (common sunflower) is the source of this 2131-nucleotide RNA transcript. RefSeq lists it as uncharacterized. NCBI's taxonomy places the organism in Eukaryota, Viridiplantae, Streptophyta, Magnoliopsida, Asterales, Asteraceae. The record is from RefSeq and is a predicted model, not a curated record. The transcript is spliced from 5 exons.
UUCAAAUUCACGUGGUUCUCUAGGCCUGCAAGAAUCGCUGAACCCUGUACAAUGUUGUCAUGAAUACACAUGUCCCUAUACACCCAAUUCAAAACCCUAGAUCUGCUCUCCUUAUCCUCAUACGAAUUCAAAAUACAAAAUCAAAUCCCAUCUCUCCACAAAACCACUUCCUAUCCGCUUUACUCCAUGGAUUCCCACGAUGAACUACCGAAGGAGAUGACAGGAGAGAGAGCGUCCUUCGAUUGUGUUUCUUCGAUGGCGAAAGUGGUCGGUUUCUAGCAUUUACUUUGGUUCUGUGUUGGUGCUUCGGCUUACAGGGUUUCAAAGGAAACGACAUUCUGUAUAAAGAAUGUAUUAUCCUAGUUGUUAAUUCUUGCCAUCCUCAUCUUCAUCCUAUGCCUUCUGAAAGCAUCAUAUUGCCCAGUGGUAGCACAUUAUUCCUAGGUUUUUGGUGAGGGCUGUUUAGGCUCUUGGUUUCAAGCAUGAACCAGGUAAGGGUGAAGGGGGCACCCCUAAGACUACAUGGUAUGAUGAUGGACCAUCCUUAGAGGAUGGUCCGUCACGUAGGCGUCACGUCACAUUUCUCUCUAAGAUGGUCCAUCCUCUAAAACUAGAAGGCAUGAACUCUUUUGAUUCAAGAGAGUGGUGUCGUGAACGUGUAUGUGGAGUUUGAGGAGGCGAUUCCAAUCCCAGGCGUUCCAUGUGAUGUUGUGGAGGUCUCUGUCAGCUUCUAUUCCAAUCGGUGAGUCUCGAACACAUGCAGAUGAUUCUAUUUGUUUUAAACUCAGUUAGAUGCACUUGAUGGCCUGAGUCUGAUUCUCCAAGUAGCCAUAAUUAUAUUGCUCUUAUCUGUUGUAGCUUUUGCAAUUAGUCAUUAUGUACAAAAGUAGAUUGUGUGUAUUAUUAUUAUCUAUUGUAUAUGUGAAACCAUUUCUGAACAAUAAAAUAUUGAAAUCUGAUAGAUCUUAUGUGCUCACCGGUGUUUAGCACUUGGGUGUGGGUUAGGGAAAGGCCACCCACAUCUAUGAUACGACACAAAUGAACCCCUGCAAACAUCAAGAUUUUGAGAAUUGCAUGAUAUGGUGUAAACCAUGAUGAAAGAUAACAGGUUCAAGUUGCAUUUGAUCAGUCAAUUAGCAACACGUCUUAGCUAGAAAAGUUGCCAAUAGUUUGAUCAGGUUGCUAAGUUUAGUACAAAUUAUUUAAUGUAUGCCAUUGGGAAUUUAGUUAUAUCUUAAAUCAUAAUAUAUAUAUAGGAUUAGGUUCAAACGUGAACAUUUUCUCCAGCGUGAACUUAUCUGGGCCCUUGAUUUUGUAGAUGAUAGAUCUUAGAUCAAUGGCAGAAUUGUAAUUAAAGGUUUAGUAAAUUUAAUUUAAAUUUUAAUCAAAAGGGUAAAAUAGGGAACUUUCAUAUUAAAGAUAUGGAAACUAAUUAAAUUGUAAUCCCCUAAAAUCCCUAUAUCAGUUUCAAUAUAUUCUAACAAACACACACAUACACCGCACACACACAUAUCCCCCAGACGACGGCAGCAGAGCCGGUGACGGCACGGCGGCCGGCCACCGUGGAUGGUGGUCCGGCGAGAGCUUACACUGGACGGUGGUCCGGCGACGGCACAACGUGGGACGUAGAUGGUAAGUCUUUGAAUCAUUUUCUUUUCCUUUUUUUUCUUUUAGAUCUUUCUAGAUCCAAGCUUACACUGACGAUCACCGGUUGCGCCGAUCUUCCUCCGCCGCUAGCGGCGGUGACAGUUUAGGGCCGAUCGUCUGCAACAAAAAGUCAUACUCGUUCCUCUUGACCAAAAGCUUGACAUGCUAUGGAGUUUCAUUAAAGCGCAUUUGAAUUCAAUAAUUCUUGUUUUUCUUUCUGCCUGCAAGCAGGUGAGGUUUGUACACGAAGCGUUCAAGAAACUGCAGCCCGGGAUCCCGUUAAAGUGCCUGCAUGGAAGGAUGAAACAAGUGAAAAGAAUGUUUAUAUUGCAACAGUUUGUUGAACAAAGAUCAGUUCUUUUUUCAACUGAUGUGUCUUCAAGGGGCCUGGAUUUCAACAAGGGGGUCGAUUGGGUUGUUCAGGAGACGUCGUAAACGAGGAAAGUGGAGAUGGAAGGUCGAUAAGGAUGAUUCACGUAUGAGG